Molecule: ribosomal RNA, 253 nt
Filed under: uncultured bacterium
Lineage: Bacteria
Description: partial 16S ribosomal RNA
Rfam family: Bacterial small subunit ribosomal RNA
Source: RNAcentral
UACAGAGGUCUCAAGCGUUGUUCGGAUUCAUUGGGCGUAAAGGGUGCGUAGGCGGCGCGGUAAGUCGGGUGUGAAAUCUCGGAGCUUAACUCCGAAACUGCAUUCGAUACUGCCGUGCUUGAGGACUGGAGAGGAGACUGGAAUUUACGGUGUAGCGGUGAAAUGCGUAGAUAUCGUAAGGAAGACCAGUGGCGAAGGCGGCUCACUGGUCCGGUACUGACGCUGAGGUGCGAAAGCGUGGGGAGCAAACAGG